RNAcentral lists this ribosomal RNA (813 nucleotides) under uncultured bacterium. RNAcentral's name for it is "bacterial SSU rRNA". It matches the Rfam family "Bacterial small subunit ribosomal RNA", at positions 1 to 808 of the family's 1533-position model. The record is from RNAcentral.
GAAUUCGCCCUUAGAGUCUUAUCCAGGCUCAGGACGAACGCUGGCGGCGUGCUUAACACAUGCAAGUCGAACGAGAAUCUAUGGACGGAGUUUUCGGACAACUGAAGUAGAGGACAGUGGCGGACGGGUGAGUAACGCGUGAGGAACCUGCCUUUCAGUGGGGGACAACAGUUGGAAACGACUGCUAAUACCGCAUAACAUACGGAGACCGCAUGAUUUCCGUAUCAAAGAUUUAUUGCUGAAAGAUGGCCUCGCGUCUGAUUAGAUAGUUGGUGAGGUAACGGCUCACCAAGUCGACGAUCAGUAGCCGGACUGAGAGGUUGAACGGCCACAUUGGGACUGAGAUACGGCCCAGACUCCUACGGGAGGCAGCAGUGGGGAAUAUUGGGCAAUGGGGGCAACCCUGACCCAGCAACGCCGCGUGAAGGAAGAAGGCUUUCGGGUUGUAAACUUUUUUGGCAGGGGACGAAGCAAUGACGGUACCCUGAGAACAAGCCACGGCUAACUACGUGCCAGCAGCCGCGGUAAUACGUAGGUAGCAAGCGUUGUCCGGAAUGACUGGGCGUAAAGGGUGCGUAGGUUGCUUGGCAAGUUGGUAGUGAAAUUCCGAGGCUUAACUUCGGCGCUACUACCAAGACUGCUGAGCUUGAGUACAGGAGAGGUAAGUGGAAUUCCUAGUGUAGCGGUGGAAUGCGUAGAUAUUAGGAGGAACACCAGUGGCGAAGGCGACUUACUGGCCUGCAACUGACACUGAGGCACGAAAGCGUGGGGAGCAAACAGGAUUAGAUACCCUGGUAGUCCACGCUGUAAACG